Molecule: ribosomal RNA, 420 nt
Filed under: bacterium
Lineage: Bacteria
Description: partial 16S ribosomal RNA
Rfam family: Bacterial small subunit ribosomal RNA
Source: RNAcentral
UGGGGGAUAUUGCACAAUGGGCGAAAGCCUGAUGCAGCGACGCCGCGUGGGGGAUGAAGGCUUUCGGGUUGUAAACCUCUUUCGCUAUCGAACAAGGCCCGCUUAGGGUGGGUUGAGGGUAGGUGGAGAAGAAGCGCCGGCUAACUACGUGCCAGCAGCCGCGGUAAUACGUAGGGCGCGAGCGUUGUCCGGAAUUAUUGGGCGGAAAGGGCUUGUAGGCGGCGUGUUGCGCCUGCUGUGAAAACGCGGGGCUUAACUUCGCGCGUGCAGUGGGUACGGGCAGGCUUGAGUGUGGUAGGGGUGACUGGAAUUCCAGGUGUAGCGGUGGAAUGCGCAGAUAUCUGGAGGAACACCGAUGGCGAAGGCAGGUCACUGGGCCAUUACUGACGCUGAGGAGCGAAAGCAUGGGUAGCGAACAGG